GAAAUUGAAGUCAUCUAACAAUGAUGUCUUAGCUGAAUAACUCUUAAAAAUUUUCAGCAUUUCCAAACCUUGCUCAAGUCCUAUCUCUUGUGUGUCUCUGCUAAAAGUUACAGGCCUCCUAUCAUUAUUUUCCAGGAUGAUAUGCCGCAGCUGACUGUUAGGAAUGUCUUUUAUGACAUGCCAUUUAACUGGGAAGAAACCGUUCCAUUUGUCGAGUUGCCAAAAGUCCAUGUCUUUAUCAAAAUCUACCUGCCCAACCAUCUCAGCUAUCCCAACAAAUUGUCCACUUCCAUUAACCGAGAAAAAGAGGAAAAUUGGACAUUUUGUGCCAGUUCCACCUGAUCUCUGUUCUGCAUCACGGAAUGCUGCAUCUAGCUUCUUAUUGCCAUUUGGAGUACUUGCCCAUACAUCAUACUUAACGCUCUUAUGAAUGUCAUCUUCAUUGUAAGAUUUGAUGACGUAGAACUUAGCAUGUGUGUACUCAGUUUCAAAAUCAGGUUGGUUAUACUGAUCCCUUUGUACAGUGAUUCCCAAGUCUUCCUUGACAGCAGUGUCCGGAGGAGAAAUUUCAUUAGAAGCCCUAGGACCGCAAGUUAAUUCAGUUGAUGUUUCAAAAUCACUCUUUUUAUAGAAUCUGUCUAUUGAUUUAUUUCUAUCAUUUCCAUUCCAUAUCCUUCCAUUCUGUCUAUAGUUCACAGGAUCAUUGUGCGGGAAUGGACCUUGUUUUUGGAUAGAAAAAGGAGGCAAAUUUCCUACAGGAUGGUAUCCUUUCGAGAGACCUGCUGAGAAAUCAGAACCCAAUGUGGACACCUGUAAUCAAAAAAGUUAAAUCAGCCAGUGUUAUCAAAGGUGGGCGAGGCGCCCAGGCGAGGCGCCAAGCGAGGCGAGGCGCCAAGCGAGGCGAGGCGCCCCUAUGUCGCCUCGACUGGAACGCCCGGCUCGACUUGGAGGAGGCGACGCCUCCUGCCGGAGAGGCGAGAGGCGACGUAGGCGAGAGGUGACGCCUCUUCACAGCAACGGUAAAGUGUUUUUUUUUUUUUUAAAUUAAAAAGUCAAUAAACCUAUCUGCUUACCUGAUGCAGAGCAGAGACACUUUUCUCCUCAACCUCACGAACGCUUUUCUCCUCAACGGCUCAA
RNAcentral lists this unclassified non-coding RNA (1137 nucleotides) under Hevea brasiliensis (rubber tree). The record is from RNAcentral. Lineage: Eukaryota; Viridiplantae; Streptophyta; Magnoliopsida; Malpighiales; Euphorbiaceae.